This is a long non-coding RNA of Nanorana parkeri, 111 nucleotides long. RefSeq lists it as uncharacterized. The record is from RefSeq and is a predicted model, not a curated record. The transcript has 3 exons. Lineage: Eukaryota; Metazoa; Chordata; Amphibia; Anura; Dicroglossidae.
UCAAUUAUCUAGAGGAGAGAAAACCCAAAGCAGUCUUUGCCUCUAUCGUUCUUCUCGGAGCAGGCGCCCCCCUACUGGCACAAAGUGGCCUAUGAGCAAGACGCUGCGCAA